Molecule: long non-coding RNA, 2384 nt
Organism: Pogoniulus pusillus (Red-fronted tinkerbird)
Lineage: Eukaryota; Metazoa; Chordata; Aves; Piciformes; Lybiidae
Exons: 3
Source: RefSeq, a predicted model, not a curated record
CGCUCGGGGGGGCCGCCCCAGUGCCCCCAGGGCACCGCAGCCGCCGGGGGUGAGCUGCGCCCGGCAGCGACUGCAGCCUCCGGCUCUGCCCGGCCGGCAGCAGCUGCAGCCCGGCCCUGGGCCUCUGCUUCCCCCCGGCGCUGGCAGGAGGCAGCUCAGGCCUGGCGCUCGGCAGCAGGCCCCAGAUGGCUGCGGGAGCUGUGGCUGUGCCUUUGUCCAGCUGAGGUUGGAGCUUCCUCAGGGCCCUGGGCCAAGCCUACCUCAGCCUGCUGCCAGCAUGGCCUUGGGGACAGCAGCAGAAGCCAAGCUGGACCAGAGCUGCUGCAAGGCCUGGAUGGUCAAGGAAGAGGACUUCCCAGCGCUGGUGGUGGGACAGAGGUGGCACUGCCUGUGAGUGACCUGCAGUCAACCCUGCCACAAGCACAGCCAGGCUGAGUUGAACUUCCUGCACCUGUGCAAUGCCAGCAGACCCCCAGGUGUCCCCUAGGUGUGUCUCCCCCACAGCAAGGCCUGGUAGGUUCCUCUCCCCUCCACUCUUUGUCUUUUCCUCCACAGAGCUGCUGAGGCUUCUCCUCUGCCCCAUGGAGAGGCAUCAGGGGGCUGUGACCAGGCUGGGAGACACAGUCCUGGGCUGUCUUCUGCUUGACCUCAUGUUCCCCAGGAGGAUGUGAAGCCCAUGGACAGCCUCUGGAGCUCCAGCCCUGCCUUCUCCAGAACUUUUUUCCAGAAACAGACUCAUAAGUAGGCUGCUGAGCUCCAUCUGCAGGCCUGGAGGCACUUCCAGGUGUUGUCACCAAGUCCAUGGGUGCCUGAAUCCUGACUCUGAUCUCCCCAUGGGGCUGGGGAUGUCCCCAAGGGGUUGGUUGGUUGACCUCUGGGGCUGAGGACCUCUAUCUGCAUUAGCUUCACAGAGUAGGAGCUGCUGAAGAACCUCCUGCAGCAGCAGGCAGCUGGAGGCUUUCUCACCUCAGCCUCCUGGUGCAGAUGCUGCUGUCGGUGGCACAGAGCUGGGCACAGAGGCUCCAGACUGCCCUCUCGACAAUGCCAUUUGCCUGGGGGUAAUAUGGGGUGUGAAACACCCAUUUCAUCCCUUCACUGCUGCCCAGUCUUGCACUGGGGUUGCAGUGAAGUGUGAUCCAUUGUCACUCUGGAUGCACUCAGGCACUGGCAAGAUGCCAAACCAAGGUUUGAGAGUCUCAGUGGUUUGAGCUCCUGAGGCUGCACUGGUGGCAGUGGCCAUGGUUAAACCAGAGACCACUUCUACACCAACCACUAUGUAUUUCUGUCCAUGUGAUGGCUUGAGGGGUCCCACAUAAUCCACCUGCCAGGUGUUCCAGAGACUUUUGUCCUGGUGGAUAUGUUGGGCUGGUGCAAGGUUUGGGUGGUUGGCCCUCAGCCUCAUCUGGCACUGUGGACAGGCUGAAAUAAUGGUCCCACAUGUUGAGAGGGAGACUGCCCACCCCCGAGGCCUGCACUCGUAGUAGAGAUCAGCUUUGCCUGGAUGUCCCCUUUUAAGGUGCAACCAUUCAGCUAAUCUCUCCCAAUCCUUUUCCCCACUGCUCACCACAUGGAUAGGUGCCAGGCAGUCAGCCUGCUGAUUCCAUGUUGCAGCAGGGGUUUCCUUCUUAGAGUGCCCUUUGACCCACCCCACCUUGAUGGGUCUCGACUGGCCUAUCUCCAGCAGUCUCUGCCAAUCUCCAGCUCUCCAGACCUUGGUGCUGCCAAUCUCCCACUGAUUUGCCUCCCAUUGGCAAAUCCACUCCAGAGCUCCCUUAAAGGUGGCACAGGAGUCUGUGUAGAUGCUUUGGCACCAUUUUCUACAGCUAACAUGAGGGCCUGCAGUUCACCCACUUGUGCACUGCCUUCACCCUCCUCAGCAACAGUCCUGCCUGUACUGAUUUCUAAGGCUGCUGCUUUGUAGUGCCACUGUGAGCCCACCCUCUGGGAAGAGGCCUCUGUGAACCACACUCCCUCGGUGUCAGAGUCUGUGGUUCUCUCCAGAGCUACAUCUAUUGGAGAUGGCUUGUGGGGCUGUCCCAGUAAAGCUGUAUCUGGGUUUGCUGGUUGCUGGAGUUUGGACACCUUGGCUGGACCCUCAGAGGCAUGAGCUGGACAAUUCCCACUUUCUUACAGUGGAUUUUUGGGCUAUCCCCUCUGGUGGAGGGGGUCCCUUGAGAAUUGGUUUAAGCAGGAGGAAAGGUCCUUGCACCACAAUAUCCUGUGUGGUGUGAAGCUUCUCUGCUUCCUUAGCAGCCCUUGUAAGGGAAAGGAGCCCCUUUUCCCAUUCAGAAUACCUCUUCUCAGUGUCCUUGAGCACUGUAGAGGAAAACAAGAGGGCUCCAGUGGGGCCUUUAGGUCCCUUCUGAUAAAUUCCACAAUAGGAG